GCCCAGAUAGCUCAGUUGGUAGAGCAGAGGACUGAAAAUCCUCGUGUCGCUGGUUCGAUUCCGGCUCUGGGCAC
Molecule: transfer RNA, 74 nt
Filed under: Blautia hansenii
Lineage: Bacteria; Bacillati; Bacillota; Clostridia; Lachnospirales; Lachnospiraceae
Also listed under: 5 other names
Description: tRNA-Phe(gaa)
Rfam family: tRNA
About the family: Transfer RNA (tRNA) molecules are approximately 80 nucleotides in length. Their secondary structure includes four short double-helical elements and three loops (D, anti-codon, and T loops). Further hydrogen bonds mediate the characteristic L-shaped molecular structure. tRNAs have two regions of fundamental functional importance: the anti-codon, which is responsible for specific mRNA codon recognition, and the 3' end, to which the tRNAs corresponding amino acid is attached (by aminoacyl-tRNA synthetases). tRNAs cope with the degeneracy of the genetic code in two manners: having more than one tRNA (with a specific anti-codon) for a particular amino acid; and 'wobble' base-pairing, i.e. permitting non-standard base-pairing at the 3rd anti-codon position.
Source: RNAcentral